CCCGGAGACGGAAUCUGAGACAAGAUUCCGGGCCCUACGGGGCGCAGCAGGCGCGAAACCUUUACACUGCACGGACAGUGCGAUAAGGGAAUCCCAAGUGCGUAGGCAUAGAGCCUACGCUUUUGUCCACCGGUAGGGAGGUGGACGAAUAAGGGCUGGGCAAGACCGGUGCCAGCCGCCGCGGUAAUACCGGCAGCCCAAGUGAUGGCCGAUCUUAUUGGGCCUAAAGCGUCCGUAGCUGGCCGCACAAGUCUAUCGGAAAAUCCACCCCGCCCAACGGGUGGGCGUCCGGUAGAAACUGUGUGGCUUGGGACCGGAAGGCGCGACGGGUACGUCCGGGGUAGGAGUGAAAUCCCGUAAUCCUGGACGGACCGCCGAUGGCGAAAGCACGUCGCGAAGACGGAUCCGACAGUGAGGGACGAAAGCUAGGGUCUCGAACCGGAUUAGAUACCCGGGUAGUCCUAGCCGUAAACAAUGCCUGCUAGGUGUGGCUCCCACUACGAGUGGGUGCUGUGCCGUAGGGAAGCCGCUAAGCAGGCCGCCUGGGAAGUACGUCCGCAAGGAUGAAACUUAAAGGAAUUGGCGGGGGAGCACUACAACCGGAGGAGCCUGCGGUUUAAUUGGACUCAACGCCGGACAUCUCACCAGCAUCGACUGUAAUAAUGACGACCAGGUUGAUGACCUUGUCCGAGUUUCAGAGAGGAGGUGCAUGGCCGCCGUCAGCUCGUACCGUGAGGCGUCCUGUUAAGUCAGGCAACGAGCGAGACCCGCAUCCUUACUUGCCAGCAGCACUGCGAAGUGGCUGGGGACAGUAGGGAGACCGCCGUGGCCAACACGGAGGAAGGAACGGGCAACGGUAGGUCAGUAUGCCCCGAAUGUGCUGGGCAACACGCGGGCUACAAUGGUCGAGACAAAGGGUUCCUACUCCGAAAGGAGACGGUAAUCUCAGAAACUCGAUCGUAGUUCGGAUUGUGGGCUGCAACUCGCCCACAUGAAGCUGGAUUCGGUAGUAAUCGCGUGUCAUAAGCGCGCGGUGAAUACGUCCCUGCUCCUUGCACACACCGCCCGUCAAAGCACCCGAGUGAGGU
This 1088-nucleotide ribosomal RNA is filed under the name Halorubrum luteum. RNAcentral describes it as "bacterial SSU rRNA". It matches the Rfam family "Archaeal small subunit ribosomal RNA", at positions 289 to 1372 of the family's 1478-position model. Lineage: Archaea; Methanobacteriati; Methanobacteriota; Halobacteria; Halobacteriales; Haloferacaceae. The record is from RNAcentral.